Molecule: long non-coding RNA, 319 nt
Organism: Eriocheir sinensis (Chinese mitten crab)
Lineage: Eukaryota; Metazoa; Arthropoda; Malacostraca; Decapoda; Varunidae
Exons: 2
Source: RefSeq, a predicted model, not a curated record
AUCUGCACGCCAACAUUAGAUACGGCUUUGGUAGAGGUUGUUGUGUUAGUAUUUCCAUGGGUGCUGUUAUGAGCCUAGUGAUAGUUUGACAAGGCUUUGGUAGAGGUUGUUGUGUUAGUAUUUCCAUGGGUAGUGUUAUGAGCCUAGUGAUAGUUUGACAAGGCUUUGGUAGAGGUUGUUGUGUUAGUAUUUCCAUGGGUAGUGUUAUGAGCCUAGUGAUAGUUUGACAAGGCUUUGGUAGAGGUUGUUGUGUUAGUAUUUCCAUGGGUAGUGUUAUGAGCCUAGUGAUAGUUUGACAAGGCUUUGGUAGAGGUUGUUG